AGCGAACGCUGGCGGCAGGCCUAACACAUGCAAGUCGAACGCCCCUUCGGGGGAGUGGCGGACGGGUGAGUAACGCGUGGGAAUGUGCCCUUUGGUACGGAACAACUGAGGGAAACUUCAGCUAAUACCGUAUGUGCCCUACGGGGGAAAGAUUUAUCGCCAUUGGAGCAGCCCGCGUUGGAUUAGGUAGUUGGUGGGGUAAUGGCCCACCAAGCCGACGAUCCAUAGCUGAUCUGAGAGGAUGAUCAGCCACACUGGGACUGAGACACGGCCCAGACUCCUACGGGAGGCAGCAGUGGGGAAUCUUGCGCAAUGGGCGAAAGCCUGACGCAGCCAUGCCGCGUGAAUGAUGAAGGUCUUAGGAUUGUAAAAUUCUUUCACCGGGGAAGAUAAUGACGGUACCCGGAGAAGAAGCCCCGGCUAACUUCGUG
Molecule: ribosomal RNA, 431 nt
Filed under: uncultured bacterium
Lineage: Bacteria
Description: partial 16S ribosomal RNA
Rfam family: Bacterial small subunit ribosomal RNA
Source: RNAcentral